This is a long non-coding RNA of Rosa rugosa (rugosa rose), 980 nucleotides long. RefSeq lists it as uncharacterized. NCBI's taxonomy places the organism in Eukaryota, Viridiplantae, Streptophyta, Magnoliopsida, Rosales, Rosaceae. The record is from RefSeq and is a predicted model, not a curated record. The transcript is spliced from 6 exons.
UUACAGAGCUUGUAUAUUUUCAUAGCUCAAACAAUCGAAAAUUGAAUUAUAGAUGGGUGGAUAUUUAGGGAUAUCUGCGUUCCUUGAAGAAGACAACAUAUUCUGAAGCUUUGAGAAUUCUAAGGAAAAAGAUUGGCUUUCAAUUCACCGAAGCUGAGUGUCUCAAGAUUGAUGUAAAAGAGAAGAAAGUCUAUUGCCAAUCUAAUUUAGAGAAUGGGGAAAAAGAAAUUUGAGUGGACUACGACUACCUUGUAAUAUUUGUGGGAGCAAAUGUUAAUACAUUCAAUACUCCUGGUGUGAUGGAGAACUGCCAUUUCUUGAAGGAAGUAGAAGAUGCCCCAGAAGAUACGAAGAACUGUUAUUGAAUGCUUUGAAAAGGCUAGCCUGCCAACUGUAAAUGAUGAGGAGAAGGAGAGAAUUCUUCAUUUUGCCGUUGUUUGAGGUGGCCCAACUGAGGUUUAAAGCAGAACAGCAGCUACAAUGUCAAAGCUACAGAGUUUAAACUCAAGAGUCAUUACUGGAUACUUACUAGCAGGAUCUGCCAUUGGACCCAGUCACCCAGAGGCUUGAAUUUUGGCCUUGGAUUACAAGUUGUGAAAUAUUUGGCUGCCAAAUAUGAAGAGCUAGGGUGUGAAGUGAAAUGGAUGGGCAAGCCUGAUAAGGUGAUCUAGUCACAUUGGUCUGGUUACCGCUGUUAACUUCACUUCAUGUGAACCUUUAGCUUAAUACAUAUUUCUCUUGCACUUGACUACCAAGAUGAAUUUUGAGCAAGGCUACUUUUUUGCUUUGAAGCAAAGCUUGGUGUAGAAAUUUUGUAGAUUGUUGCUCAUAUGUUUCUAGGAUAUCCUUUGUAGGUUUUGGGGUUUUCUUUUGUGACAUAUGUUCAAUCAUGAAUUUGGAAAGAAAAUUAAUGGAAAGCCCCAAUUUUUGGAUGAUUAUGAAAUGCAUUUCUUUUCCCAGCAGCAGCUAGAUGCAAACUU